This 1384-nucleotide long non-coding RNA is filed under the name Sus scrofa (pig). RNAcentral describes it as "lncRNA (ENSSSCG00015069581.1)". Lineage: Eukaryota; Metazoa; Chordata; Mammalia; Artiodactyla; Suidae. The record is from RNAcentral.
AGCCGCCGCCGCCGUUUUCCCCGGUAUGGACGAACAGCGGGCGAGGUCUUUUAUGCCUUUCGCGGGAAGGUCAACAAACGGUGAGAAGCUAUCGAAAACGACCUGUUUUACCACAUUUCCAGGCCACUUGACCCACGGGGACCUGACUUUGCAACAUUCGUCGGGGGCGCUGCAAAAAGCUUAGCUUCUCGGAAACUCAGGCCUGCCUGUGUCUCUCAAGGAUGGACAGAGGUGGUUGUGGACUUAAAGACCCUUUGAUGUAAGGGAUAGAGAGAAGCUAAGUGAGCGCACCCAUCUCUGAACAUUUCAACCGCGAGGGAAUCCGAGCAAAGUAACAAUAAGAUACAACUAAUAUCCUAGGAAUGCUGUUGGUUUACAGUGUUCUGUCAAUUUUCUCCUGUACUGUCGGGAGCCAUAAGGCUGCUCCAGUAAAGAAAGCAAAGCCACAGUCGGCACCUGCAUGAGGCUUGUCUGGUUAGCAGAGCUACAGACAAGCUGAAGAAAGAAGAAGGAUUGCAGAGCAAUCCCUUGAAAGACAUCGGCUCCAGGAAAAUAAAAAUGAUAUCCCCUAAAAAAUAUGUUAAUCUAUUUUUCUGUGUUUAUCUUUCCUUUUCUAUCUCUAUUCACAGCUUUCUUACUGCUAAAGAUUUGCCCUGGGUACGUAAAACACUUGAACCAAAACAGAAUGAAGUUAUUUAAACAAUGUAAUGGAAAAAGCCUUUGUUUUGGAGUAACAAUUUAUGGCACCUAUUUUGUGAGAGUAUACAGGGGAAACUUAUGAUUUCAGUCCCUUUACUUAAAAAGAAGUUUGGGGCUGGGAAAAUGUUGUUUGGCCUAUAAAUUGCUAUUUUCUAUAAUAGAUAUAUUUUUUAACAGUGUCACUUGUAACUUUCAUCCCUUGUGGGGGCAUUUGUUAAUUUUUGGGUAUAAUACUCCUUUCUAUUGAAAUUGGUGGUUUGGAACUUACGUAAAUCAGCACAAUAGGUUAAAUGCUUAGCUUGCUGGCGCCAAAUAAAUCGUGGUUUUAAGAAUGCCAUGAGCCCAAGGCUUUCAUGCGUUUUGUUAACUACAUACACCUUUAGUUAAAGAAUGUUAGGUAUCAUAGUUUAUUACUUAUUAAAGCUUUGUUCUUAAUAUAGAAUAGAAUAGCUACUGUUGUUGACCUUUUAAGAAAAAUACAGUGUGAAACUUUAAGUUUGUAAUCUUGAAGGAAAAUCUAAAGUUGAAAGGAACAUGUUUUAACUAACCUUUUUUUGUAUCUCGGGUGGAGGGAACAAAAGGGCUUUAAAUCAAAUGUUAAUGUCAAAUCUUACACGAAACCUGAUUGUGAUAGGGUAUAAAAACUGAUGCUUUUCAUUUAAUAAAUUGGGUCAUCUGCAGCAUG